RNAcentral lists this ribosomal RNA (700 nucleotides) under Flavobacterium sp. N5-P4. RNAcentral's name for it is "bacterial SSU rRNA". It matches the Rfam family "Bacterial small subunit ribosomal RNA", at positions 8 to 708 of the family's 1533-position model. Lineage: Bacteria; Pseudomonadati; Bacteroidota; Flavobacteriia; Flavobacteriales; Flavobacteriaceae. The record is from RNAcentral.
AGAGUUUGAUCAUGGCUCAGGAUGAACGCUAGCGGGAGGCCUAACACAUGCAAGCCGAGCGGUAUUGUUUCUUCGGAAACGAGAGAGCGGCGCACGGGUGCGGAACACGUGUGCAACCUGCCUUUAUCUGGGGGAUAGCCUUUCGAAAGGAAGAUUAAUACCCCAUAAUAUUUUGGAUGGCAUCAUUUAAAAUUGAAAACUCCGGUGGAUAGAGAUGGGCACGCGCAAGGUUAGAUAGUUGGUAGGGUAACGGCCUACCAAGUCAGUGAUCUUUAGGGGGCCUGAGAGGGUGACCCCCCACACUGGUACUGAGACACGGACCAGACUCCUACGGGAGGCAGCAGUGAGGAAUAUUGGACAAUGGGUGAGAGCCUGAUCCAGCCAUCCCGCGUGAAGGACGACGGCCCUAUGGGUUGUAAACUUCUUUUGUACAGGGAUAAACCUUUCCACGUGUGGAAAGCUGAAGGUACUGUACGAAUAAGCACCGGCUAACUCCGUGCCAGCAGCCGCGGUAAUACGGAGGGUGCAAGCGUUAUCCGGAUUUAUUGGGUUUAAAGGGUCCGUAGGCGGAUCCGUAAGUCAGUGGUGAAAUCUCAUAGCUUAACUAUGAAACUGCCAUUGAUACUGCGGGUCUUGAGUAAGGUAGAAGUAGCUGGAAUAAGUAGUGUAGCGGUGAAAUGCAUAGAUAUUACUUAGAACA